Molecule: long non-coding RNA, 286 nt
Organism: Amaranthus tricolor (Joseph's coat)
Lineage: Eukaryota; Viridiplantae; Streptophyta; Magnoliopsida; Caryophyllales; Amaranthaceae
Exons: 3
Source: RefSeq, a predicted model, not a curated record
UUCAAUUGGUAUCAGACAGACACUUGGCCCACAUCAAUAUUGAAGGCAACUCGAGUUCUAAAUGCAAUACUCUUGAAGUCACACAACAAUGUGAAAGCCUUAAUCCCAACAAUAUGAGACACAAUUCAAGACUUACUUUCUGAGGUCCCAGAUUCGUAAUGUUUUGUCCAGUGAGCUGGAAACAAGAAAAUGAUCCUCCGGAGCAGCCAGCUGUAGGAUGACCAGUUCAAAUACUCCGCUACCAUAAUCCCAUACCUGAGAGAACCAUUUCCAGUGCCAACUACAA